This 2948-nucleotide long non-coding RNA is filed under the name Sorghum bicolor (sorghum). Its description in RNAcentral is "long non-coding RNA (SBIC_LNC012237)". The record is from RNAcentral. Lineage: Eukaryota; Viridiplantae; Streptophyta; Magnoliopsida; Poales; Poaceae.
GAGGUGCCGAACGAGGUGGAAUACGUCGACCGUUAGAGCUGUCACUACCCUAGGGCUACCACAACAAUCCGCAGGAUUGGGUGCAAUUUCAGGUAAUUGCAAGUCUCAACACCACGUCUAAUCUAUUAAUUACUACUCUAGUGUUAUAAAGACUAGAGCACUUGAUGCAAGCGGGAAUCCAAUAAAUAACUUGAAUGUAGAUAAAAUUAAUUAAAGAACUCAGGAAUUAUGAAUAGAAGAACUUGGAGAACGAUGAAGAACGAACCAGUUGCUGCAAAAGUACAAUGUUGAGGAAGAUCCGACAGAUCCGGCUCCUCCUCCGCUCUCCUCUUCUCUCUCCCUAUUUUCUAGAUUACAACUAGAACGAACUAGAACUAGAACUAGAUGAACUAGAACUAGAACUAGAUGAAUUAGAGGGAUCCUCUCUACUUGGAUGAAGAAUUGAAACCCUAGCUUUGAUUCUGUAGAAGAGGUAUGAUCUCCAGGGGCUGGGGGCCUUGCUUAUAUAGUCUUUUCAGAUGAAUCUAGGCCGUCGGAUCAAACCGACAUUGAUUGAACGGUUAUCCUUGAUCCUUUAGGUCGGUGGAGCGUAAUCCGCAAGACGUUCCAGAUUGGACUCUGGGACAGGGCGGGCGCCCAAGGGGGGAGGGCGGGCACCCUGCCCCCAUGCCCGAUCGCCUUCUCGUUCAUUCCCGUGGCAUCUGGAGUCUUCUAGAUGGUAGAAAAUUGCACAGCACGUUAAUAUCUCUAUGUAAACCCGACGUGUGGGCCUUUCUUCCGUAUUUCCUGAUAACCCCCUGCAGAAAUAGACAAACACCAAAACUCGUGGAAUUUUGUCAGAUAAAACCCUAAGUCUGGGUGUUAGUUGCAUUUGGAUCCUUUUCCAUGAUUAGUUGAUGGUUAAAUGUGAGCAUUAAGGACCGUCAACAAGCUCCCCCAAGCUUAACCUUUGCUCGUCCCUGAGCAAAGAUGGACUCAAGAGUUUCUGCAGUGGUUUCAUGCCUUAAAAAUACACAUGUGUUUAAACAAGAUCUCAUCUCUAGGUUAGAGUAAACUGUUAAGACUUAAAACUUACUUAUUUUACCUUUCACCAUGGGGCUUGCAACCGUCACUUGUGUCUUGAGCAGUUAAAAGAUAGAACGGUCUAGUCAAGUGCCAUGUCUCUUAUUCUUGAUCAGCUAUAGGGAGUUUUUGUAGAUUUUCAAAUAAAACUCAGAGAUUCCUUGUAUGACUCUCUCAGAUCUCUCUUUUGUGGUAUUUCUGGUAUGAGGCAUAGUGGCAUUGCCUUCUCUCUCACCCUACUCUAAUAAGGUUUUGAUAUCUGGAGCUCAUAGGUGGGAGACAACUAAUACAUACAAGAAAUUUAUUGCAUAGUCAAACCAUGGUUCUAGAGAAACAAGUCAAUAAGUCAAAUCAAGAUGUGCAUGUGUGGCGAAUGAAUGGUGUAUGGUGAUGAUAGUGAUAAUAAUGGUGAAAGUCUAAUUCUACUUUUGCUCUUUUGAGGGGAUACAUACCUUCCUUGCUCUUUUGAGACUUUUGGGGAGAAUGAGAUGCUCUGUAUUUUCUUUUUCUUUCCUCUGAGGUGGGUAGCUUGUAUCCCUAAUUCUACUAUCGGACACUUGUCCAUUUUUACCUCUCGUCUCACUUUUUCUUUUCUUUCGAGGUUCUGGGCACUUGCCCCCUUUUUUAUUUCCUCAUAUCUUUUUUUCUCUCUCUUUUUUUAGAGCACUCAUCUCUUGAAAUAAUGUAGCAAGUGGUAGUAACCAAGAUAACUUGAGCAUUUAUUUCACAGGGGAAAAUAGAAAUGUUUUUGGCUAUUCUCUCCCGGAUUAGGAGUAGAAUAUUUUUGGGUGGUUCUGGAAAUGGAAAUUGGUGGAUAUAUGUGGAUGCGUACUUCUAGAGUCGAAGCAGCAUGUAUGAGUGAACGUGCAAGUGAAUCUUGAUUUAACCACAUGACAAACUCCUAAGAGUCUACACAGCUUGACCACACUCAAUGCUCAUAAGCAGUAAAAAGUAAAUGUGUGGCUCAAAGUCUAGCAAGCAUGUAUAUGUGGCUGUGGUAGGAAUUUAAACUCUCAUCAUACAGAAAUUCAUCAUGUGUUAUUUUAAAUAUUUUCAAAGAUAAAAUUCUCCAGAAUUCUAGCAUCUCUAGGAAAAGAUAAACAGCAGCUCAACCUUCCCAUAUCAUAUCCGUUAACGACUUAGACUUCAGAUCAAGUACUCUUCCCACAAGUUCAGGUUUAGAGCAGGUUUAAAUUAUAACAGUUAUGCCUAAACUUGAGAGAAAGCUCAAACUUGAAAACUAGGUACAUGUCAGAGCAACUAUUUAUCAUAUCCAUGUACGAGUUUAUCAUUUAAGUUCAGUUUGGCCUAGACACUUUAUUUAUUUAUUUAUUUAGCAAACUAAGCAAAGAUAUAUAUAUAUAAGCACAAAAUCUUUAUUUGGGUUUUUAUGAUCAUGCAUCUUUUUAUUAUUUGAGUAAAGUAUAAAUGUGAGUAGAACACUUAGCUGGAUAAAUGGGGGUGCUCUCCCCCAAGCUGGAUUUUGACGUAAUUUCUUCUGAUGUAGCUAGCAGGUGAUGGAGGUGUAUUUGAAUGUCAGCAGCACCCUGACAGCGAUUAGGAUGUCCUUCGUCUGCUAGUCUUCUUUGAUCCUUGAAUUAUGUGGAGCUCAAAUAGACAACAAAGCUUUGUGGAACUGGUUAAGUGUUAGCAUAAAUAUCUAGCCUUUAUCAUGUUGAGCCUCCUCAAUAAAUGUUACUCUCUUUAGUAGGAUCAUAAAUUUAUUUUUAUAAUUUUAUUUUUAUAGGACAGGAAUAUAUUUAUUUCAUUUUUACGCCACCACAGUGAAUGUACUUAUGGGUUUUAUGCCAUGAGCAUACUCACAUGGGGCUUACUAUUUCUAACAUUUUUAUUUUCUUUUCAAGAUGAUAUGAACCUAAUUAACU